Molecule: ribosomal RNA, 250 nt
Filed under: uncultured bacterium
Lineage: Bacteria
Description: partial 16S ribosomal RNA
Rfam family: Bacterial small subunit ribosomal RNA
Source: RNAcentral
UACGUAGGAUCCUAGCGUUGUCCGGAUUUACUGGGUGUAAAGGGUGCGCAGGCGGACUGGUGAGUCAGGGGUGAAAUCUCGCCGCUUAACGGCGAAACUGCCUUUGAUACUAUCAGUCUUGAGUUUGGUAGAGAUCCGUGGAAUUCCGAGUGUAGCAGUGAAAUGUGUAGAUAUUCGGAAGAACACCAGCGGCGAAGGCAGCGGAUUGGGCCAAUACUGACGCUCAGGCACGAAAGCAUGGGGAUCAAAC